RNAcentral lists this transfer RNA (73 nucleotides) under Zootermopsis nevadensis. It matches the Rfam family "tRNA". Rfam says of the family: Transfer RNA (tRNA) molecules are approximately 80 nucleotides in length. Lineage: Eukaryota; Metazoa; Arthropoda; Insecta; Blattodea; Termopsidae. The record is from Rfam by way of RNAcentral.
GCCACGGUGGUCUAGUGGUUAGAACGCUGGCCUUGUAAUCCUGGGGUCCCGGGUUCGAUUCCCGGUGGUGCCC